GAUGAACGCUGGCGGCGUGCCUAAUACAUGCAAGUCGAGCGAACAGAUGAGGAGCUUGCUCCUCUGACGUUAGCGGCGGACGGGUGAGUAACACGUGGAUAACCUACCUAUAAGACUGGGAUAACUUCGGGAAACCGGAGCUAAUACCGGAUAAUAUAUUGAACCGCAUGGUUCAAUAGUGAAAGACGGUUUUGCUGUUACUUAUAGAUGGAUCCGCGCCGCAUUAGCUAGUUGGUAAGGUAACGGCUUACCAAGGCAACGAUGUGUAGCCGACCUGAGAGGGUGAUCGGCCACACUGGAACUGAGACACGGUCCAGACUCCUACGGGAGGCAGCAGUAGGGAAUCUUCCGCAAUGGGCGAAAGCCUGACGGAGCAACGCCGCGUGAGUGAUGAAGGUCUUCGGAUCGUAAAACUCUGUUAUUAGGGAAGAACAAAUGUGUAAGUAACUAUGCACGUCUUGACAGUACCUAAUCAGAAAGCCACGGCUAACUACGUG
RNAcentral lists this ribosomal RNA (497 nucleotides) under uncultured bacterium. Its description in RNAcentral is "partial 16S ribosomal RNA". It matches the Rfam family "Bacterial small subunit ribosomal RNA", at positions 28 to 507 of the family's 1533-position model. The record is from RNAcentral.